AUUGCCCAGUUCUGGAUAUGAAGACAAUCAAGAAAAGAUUUGGUGUUCUUGAUUGUCUUCAUAUCUAGAACUGGGCAGU
MicroRNA precursor from Pan troglodytes (chimpanzee), 79 nucleotides. Ensembl annotates it as microRNA 4782. NCBI's taxonomy places the organism in Eukaryota, Metazoa, Chordata, Mammalia, Primates, Hominidae. The record is from Ensembl.